AUGCAGUCGAACGGCAGCACGGGAGCAAUCCUGGUGGCGAGUGGCGAACGGGUGAGUAAUGUAUCGGAACGUACCUUUCAGUGGGGGAUAACGUAGCGAAAGUUACGCUAAUACCGCAUAUUCUGUGAGCAGGAAAGCAGGGGAUCGCAAGACCUUGCGCUGAUUGAGCGGCCGAUAUCAGAUUAGCUAGUUGGUGAGGUAAAGGCUCACCAAGGCGACGAUCUGUAGCGGGUCUGAGAGGAUGAUCCGCCACACUGGAACUGAGACACGGUCCAGACUCCUACGGGAGGCAGCAGUGGGGAAUUUUGGACAAUGGGGGCAACCCUGAUCCAGCCAUGCCGCGUGAGUGAAGAAGGCCUUCGGGUUGUAAAGCUCUUUCAGCCGGGAAGAAAUCACAUGGGUUAAUACCCUGUGUGGAUGACGGUACCGGAAUAAGAAGCACCGGCUAACUACGUGCCAGCAGCCGCGGUAAUACGUAGGGUGCGAGCGUUAAUCGGAAUUACUGGGCGUAAAGCGUGCGCAGGCGGUUUGUUAAGAUAGGCGUGAAAUCCCCGGGCUCAACCUGGGAACUGCGUUUAUGACUGGCAGGCUAGAGUAUGGCAGAGGGGGGUGGAAUUCCACGUGUAGCAGUGAAAUGCGUAGAGAUGUGGAGGAACACCGAUGGCGAAGGCAGCCCCCUGGGCCAAUACUGACGCUCAUGCACGAAAGCGUGGGUAGCAAACAGGAUUAGAUACCCUGGUAGUCCACGCCCUAAACGAUGUCAACUAGGUGUUGGGUGGGUAAAACCAUUUAGUACCGGAGCUAACGCGUGAAGUUGACCGCCUGGGGAGUACGGCCGCAAGGUUAAAACUCAAAGGAAUUGACGGGGACCCGCACAAGCGGUGGAUGAUGUGGAUUAAUUCGAUGCAACGCGAAAAACCUUACCUACCCUUGACAUGUCCAGAAGCUCUUAGAGAUUUGAGUGUGCCCGAAAGGGAACUGGAACACAGGUGCUGCAUGGCUGUCGUCAGCUCGUGUCGUGAGAUGUUGGGUUAAGUCCCGCAACGAGCGCAACCCUUGUCGUUAAUUGCCAUCAUUUAGUUGGGCACUUUAACGAGACUGCCGGUGACAAACCGGAGGAAGGUGGGGAUGACGUCAAGUCCUCAUGGCCCUUAUGGGUAGGGCUUCACACGUCAUACAAUGGUCGGUACAAAGGGUUGCCAACCCGCGAGGGGGAGCUAAUCCCAGAAAGCCGAUCGUAGUCCGGAUCGUAGGCUGCAACUCGCCUGCGUGAAGUCGGAAUCGCUAGUAAUCG
This 1294-nucleotide ribosomal RNA is filed under the name bacterium BH303. RNAcentral's name for it is "bacterial SSU rRNA". It matches the Rfam family "Bacterial small subunit ribosomal RNA", at positions 55 to 1344 of the family's 1533-position model. The record is from RNAcentral.